CCUACGGGACGCACCAGUAGGGAAUCUUCGGCAAUGAACGAAAGUCUGACCGAGCAACGCCGCGUGAGUGAAGAAGGUUUUCGGAACGUAAAAAUCUGUUGGUAGAGAAGAACGUUGGUGAGAGUGGAAAGCUCAUCAAGUGACGGUAACUACCCAGAAAGGGACGGCUAACUACGUGCCAGCAGCCGCGGUAAUACGUAGGUCCCGAGCGCUGUCCGGAUUUAUUGGGCGUAAAGCGAGCGCAGGUGGUUUAUUAAGUCUGGUGUAAAAGGCAGUGGCUCAACCAUUGUAUGCAUUGGAAACUGGUAGACUUGAGUGCAGGAGAGGAGAGUGGAAUUCCAUGUGUAGCGGUGAAAUGCGUAGAUAUAUGGAGGAACACCGGUGGCGAAAGCGGCUCUCUGGCCUGUAACUGGCACUGAGGCUCGAAAGCGUGGGGAGCAAACAGGAUUAGAUACCCCUGUAGUC
RNAcentral lists this ribosomal RNA (465 nucleotides) under uncultured bacterium. RNAcentral describes it as "bacterial SSU rRNA". It matches the Rfam family "Bacterial small subunit ribosomal RNA", at positions 338 to 795 of the family's 1533-position model. The record is from RNAcentral.